UACGAAGGGGCUAGCGUUGCUCGGAAUCACUGGGCGUAAAGCGCACGUAGGCGGAUCUUUAAGUCAGGGGUGAAAUCCCGGAGCUCAACUCCGGAACUGCCUUUGAUACUGAGGGUCUCGAGUUCGGGAGAGGUGAGUGGAACUGCGAGUGUAGAGGUGAAAUUCGUAGAUAUUCGCAAGAACACCAGUGGCGAAGGCGGACUCACUGGCCCGAUACUGACGCUGAGGCACGGAAAGC
Molecule: ribosomal RNA, 238 nt
Filed under: uncultured bacterium
Lineage: Bacteria
Description: partial 16S ribosomal RNA
Rfam family: Bacterial small subunit ribosomal RNA
Source: RNAcentral